CAAAAUAGGAAUAUGUAUAUUAAGAAAGAAACUGGAAUGGCUAUUGCCAAAAUACAAGAAAACUAGAGACCCUUGAAACUAGACUAGAAGCAAGAAAGGAGUUGACAAGAGUGAAGAGGGCUUCACUCUUGCCUCUAUAUAUACUAUCUAACUAGAAGCCACGUGGCGAUGUUCUAUAAGACCUCCAAUAUAUGUUGACUUUCUAGGCCACAUGCCUUUGCUUGCAAGGCAAGUUUUCUAUGGAUGGACCACGUAGUUAGCUUGUUCUUUAAGCUUCCAACAUGUGUGGCACAUGGCUAACUUGUUGACCAAGUUUCUAGCCUAAAAGUCAACUAUAGACUCCUAUAAAGUCAAAGCAGCGUCUAUGAAGCUUCUAAGAAGCUACUCUAGAAGAUAUUACACAAUUAACCUACUUUUAUCUACUUUUACAUACUUUUAUCUAUUCAUAUAGAUAAUUAUAUGUAUGUCCGUGACAAUAACAAAUCUUUGAUGUUGUCUUUUAACCCAAACCAAAAUUGAUUGAUAAGAAUAUUUCUAUUCCAAUCUAUAUCAAAAGUGAAGUUUUGGAAUUCAAUAGCAUAUAUGAUAGCUAAUUGUGAUUUUUGUUCUAAAGAUAAGAGCUUGGUCUCUGCUAUUCUUUCUUCAUUACUUUUUUAAAUGUAAUCAUUGUCAUGUGAUAAUACAACUAUAUAGUAAGAAAUAAAAAUAUGGAUAUUAUUUUAGAAGAACCUAAAAAAAAGAUGUAAUAGAAGAUUUAGUCUUAAUGCUGCCUUUUUGUAGAAGGAACUUCUAUUUACUUUGUAGAAGCAAAAAUGAGCCAAAUCAAAGUAAAUGAAAUAAAAAAUAAUAUAGACAUGUGUAAAAAAGAGUUAAGAGUAGAUUUCAUCAAAUUUUACCUCAAAAAGCCAAGAAUUGAUACUUAAAGAAGAGUGAUUGUCAACCUAGGUUGAAAUCAGGCCCCAAGAUACAAAACCAUACACUUAUGGUAACUUUGGAGUUCUUUGAUAGAUUAAAGAAUAAGAAUUAAAAAUAAAUAAAUAAAUAAAUAAAAAAUCAAGAGAGAUUUUUGAACAUUGAUAUUAUAUCAAUCAAGUCAAUAUUGAAUUUUUGAGGGAUUUUCAAAGUUAGUAAUGUUCUCAAUUGGUUUAGAUUUUUAAGAAAUAAAAAUAUGUUUACAAAUUUGAGAGAUUUUAAAGUUUUGUAGUAUAUAUAUAAGUCAAUUUUGGAUAGUAUGUUGGUAUUGUAGUUAUCAAUAUGUGUGCAAAUUUUGAGGUCAAUUAAAUAAUUAGAUUGAAUAAUGUAAAGAUUUUUGUGGGUUGAGGUCUUAGGAAUUGGAGUUCAAAGGUCAGAGAGUAUUUCUAAGAUUUUCAGUAAUCUAUUGAUUGGAUUGAAGUGAAUUUUUUUUAUAUGAAUACUAGACUCAAUUUUCAAUAUUUUAAGUAAACUUUAGAAGCAAUUCAAUAGUUCAAAAAUGAGAUAUUGGCAUUAGAAGUUUAGCAUUUAGAUUGGAAUAAGAGGCCACCUAACAUCUGAUUGGAUUGUCUUGUUUUUCUUUCAAUUGAUAAGUGCAAUUGAUUUCAUCUUUUUUGUACUUAUUUUUAAUUAAGACAUAAGAAAAUAUGCAAAAUUUUAGUUGAUAUCAAUGGUUCAACUAUUAGUUGUUGAGGUUCUAUUUAUUAUAGAGUUUAUUAAGAGUUUGCUUAAAAUCUAGGAUUUGAUUAGAAUUGGUUUUGGUUUUGGUUUUGAAUUUGCUUAGGAUUUGGUUUAGAACUAGUCUAAGAUUUGUUUAAGAUUUAGAAUUUUAUUAGGAUUUCAAUUAGGAUUUGAUUUAGGAUUUAACCUAAAAUUUUAUUAAGAUUUAAUUAGGAUUUUAAUUAAAAAUAUAAUAUGAUUUUUAUUUUUAUAUUUCUUUAGUAUUAUUUAUUAUUUAUUUAAAUUUUUUGUUUAUAUUAUUUUUUUGAGAUUAUUUUCAGUUAUUUAAAGAUUUAUUUUUAUAUUUUUUUAAAAUUUCUUAUUAUUGUUUUUUAAGAUUAGUUUGGAAUUUCUUUGUGUUUCUUUUAUAACUUCUUUUAAAUUUAUUUUUAUUUGAUCAAAGUUCAAUGAGGAUUAUUAAGGUCUACUUAAGGUUAUUUAAGAUUCUAUUAGAUUUGAUUGGAUUGUUCUUGUAUUUCUACUGAUCUUCUACAACUAGGUGCGUAGUGUAUUUUUGAGCAAGAACACACGUAAUACAACACCAUAAAUACUUUUAGGAAUGAAUUCAAAUUGUAAAGGAAUCAUGAAUCUUUUUUUAUUAAAAGUGAAAACCAAAAGAAAGUACUAACUAAUAGAAAAGUACUUUUAAAUCCAAUUUGAGCAAAUCCUUUAAGAUAUUGGAAGAGAUGUAAUCUUAAAUAGAACUUGAUUCUUUGCAAAAAUCCUCUAAAUUUUGAUCUUGUUCUUUCAAACUUCUCAUGCAUAUUAAUCCUUGUCACAAUCAUACUUAAAGUAGCAAACUUCUUGGAUUUGGUUAUAAGAUUGAUCUAUUUGUUUUCUUCAAUCUCUCAAUUUUUUGAUGCAGAUUGUAAAGUACUUCUAUAGGCAUAGGAUUUGUAUUUCUAAGGUUGACGCUAGUGAUGUGUAAAUUUUUUGCCCUAAGAGUGUUUAUAAGUUCUUGAAGAUCUGCAAUAAUUACAAAUAUAUUAUUAUUUUUACUAAAAGUAGUAUCUAUAAUUUUUCCUUUUAUUUCAAACAAUUUAGAAAUCCAAAAUUCAAAUUAGAAGAGGAUAAUCUGCAACUUCUAAUGUCAAAAAAAAAAAAUCUACUCUCUUUAAGAAAAAAAUUAGUGUUAAAAAAUUAAAUAAUUUAUUUAAAGGUGGAUAGUUUUCAACCUUCAAAAUACAACAAUAGAAGUCGGAUAAUCUACUAUCUUUUAAAAUAAGACAAGAACAAUGAAUUAACACUCUUGUUAAAUUGUUAAGGAUAUGAAUCUUGAAGAAAGAAAUUCCCAAUACACUCUUAUGUCACUCAAAUGGACUAAAAAAUCACUCAACAAUGAUACAAUAAUAAAUUAGAAUGGCUAUUGCUAAAGACAAGAACAUUAGAAAGUCUUGGAACAAGAGUAAGGACUAGAAAGGUUUUGAUAAGAAUGAAGAAGGCUUUAUUCUUGCUUCUAUAUAUAUUCUUAACUAUGAGCUAUAUGACGAUGUUUUAUAGGACCUUCAAAACAUGUAUAACAGAUAUACAUAUUUACUAUGAUAUUUAUCUAUAUAAUUUAGUAGAAAUAAGUAAAAGUAGAUUUUUUUCAUAAUAUUUUUUAAAAAGAUUUUUAGAAGCUUCAUAAACAUUACUUUAGCUAUAUAUGUGUUUGUAGUUGAUUGGUAGGUUAAAAACUUGGUCAACAAGUAAAUCACAUGUUGGUAGCUUAUGAAACAAGCUAAUUUUGUGGCACAUAUAUAAAAAAAUUGCCUUACAAGUUAAGAUAUGUAUUUUACAAAGUCAACAAGUUUUGGAGGUCUUAUAGAAUAUUGCCAUGUAGCUCUUAAUUAAGAGUAUAUAUGGAAGCAAAAAUGAAGCCUUUUUCACUCUUGUCAAUAUUUUUUUAGUCCUUAGUCUUAUUUCAAGAUUUUUUAAUCUAUUUAUUUUUGAUAAUAGCCAUUCUAAUUCAAUACUAUAACAUCUUUGAGUGACUUUCUAAUUCUUUUCAGUGACACAAGAAUAUAUUAAGAAUUUCUUUCUUCGUACUUUAUGUCCUUGAUAAUGUGUUGACUUUGAAAGACAUGUAUCUUAAGUUGCAAGGCAAGUUUUUAUAUGUAUGCUACAUAAUUAACUUAUUUUAUAAGCUAUUAAUAUAUGUGUCACAUUACUAACUUGUUGGUCAAAUUUCUAGCCUAUCAAUUAACUACAAAUAUAUAUAAAGACAAUUUCAAUUUAUAAAUUAAAAAUAAAGAUAUAAAACUUUGAAAAGAAUUGAACUUACAAAUUGGAAGAGAAUUAUCUUAAUCCACUUGGGUAGUGGCUUCUUGUCAGGGACAAGAACUCGAUGAAAGCUAAAGAGUAAGUGAGACUUUUCUCAAAAAGAAAUAGGACAAAAUAGGAAUAUGUAUAUUAAGAAAGAAACUGGAAUGGCUAUUGCCAAAAUACAAGAAAACUAGAGACCCUUGAAACUAGACUAGAAGCAAGAAAGGAGUUGACAAGAGUGAAGAGGGCUUCACUCUUGCCUCUAUAUAUACUAUCUAACUAGAAGCCACGUGGCAAUGUUCUAUAAGACCUCCAAUAUAUGUUGACUUUCUAGGCCACAUGCCUUUGCUUGCAAGGCAAGUUUUCUAUGGAUGGACCACGUAGUUAGCUUGUUCUUUAAGCUUCCAACAUGCGUGGCACAUGGCUAACUUGUUGACGAAGUUUCUAACCUAAAAGUCAACUAUAGACUCCUAUAAAGUCAAAGCAGCGUCUAUAAAGCUUCUAAGAAGCUUCUCUAGAAGAUAUUACUACUUUUAUCUACUUUUACAUACUUUUAUCUAUUCAUAUAGGUAAUUAUAUGUAUGUCCGUGACAUUACCCCCCCUUCUAGGGACGAGUUCCACGAGGAGCGGUGAUUAUAUAUUGAGAAAAUCUAAUAUGCGGCGAAUUGUAUUUAUUACAUACUCUGAUCUUUGUUCUCUUUGAAGAUAGUUGAUGGGUCCUCUUAGCCAUCGAUAGUGUCCCAUUCCAGGGCGAGAAGACCACCCUGUUAUUUGAUCACUGUUGAGGCCUUCAUAACUUCCUUCAAAUAAUACAUUUGAAACACCAUCAGGAGUCGUUCCUAUCUCCAAUAAUAUCACCAAACAUCGAGAAUCUCUUCCAAGGUCGUGAUACCAAAUGCGUUGUAUCUCACCAUCUAUUCGAGGAAGAACAUGUCGUUCUUCAGGAUCUUCAUCUCGGUUGCGUCGUCUUGAAGGUUGUGACAAUCGCAAUGUCUCAUCCGGUAAGUCAGCAAACGAAGGUUCUUGAGUUGAAUCCGCUGGUUGUUGGCUCUCCAUCUAAUAAGCGUCACAAAUGCAAAGAAGUUACAAACAAGGAUAGGAAAUUGAAUGUUAUCUUGCCUCAAUCUUGUCUCUUUUAUAAGAGAGGUUUUCAUCUUGGUUUUGAUGGAUGUCGUUGAUGAAAAACUUUGACUUUAGCUGAUGCAUUUGCUAGAUUCCUGGAUGGCUCCCAUGUGUGCUCACUAAUAUCAUAUCCGCACCAAUGAACAAGAUAUUCCAGCUUAUUUCGGCGCCGCCUUGAGUCUAAUAUCUCUUCCACCUCAAAUUCUUCAUUAUUAUCUACUUCUAUAGGAGGCAGUGGCAUUUGUCUUCUUCCUUGUAUAUCCACUGUCUUAUAUGGUUCAAGAAGAGACACGUGGAAUACAGGAUGGAUCUUCAUUGACUCCGGUAGAUGUAACCGAUAUGCAACUGGGUUGAUCUGUUCAGAAACAGAAAAGGGGCCAAGCCUACGAUAGUCCAAUUUGUCACAAGGUCGAGUGGUCUUGAUAUUGCGACGAAGUAGCCAUACCUUAUCACCCACGUUGAGUUGUGGUUGCUCUUUACGAUAUACAUCUGCAUUUAUCUUUUGUCGUUCUUGAGCUUUCUUCAACUGCGCCUUCAUUAUUGCAUGUAACUCUGACAACCGAUUUGCCAUAUCUUCUGCUGCAGGAUUAUCAACUUUUGAAAAAUCAAAAGUAUCAAGUCGUGGAUGAUAGCCAUAAUUGGCAAAGAAAGGUGUUUGUUGCGUGGAGGAAUGUACCGUAUUAUUAUAAGCAAACUCUGCCAAUGGCAGAAGGUUUGUCCAAUCAUCUUGUUGGUAGUUGAUGGUACACCUUAAAUACUGUUCCAAGACUUGGUUUACGCGCUCUGUUUGUCCAUCAAUUUGAGGAUGGAAAGCUGAAGAUAGCUUUAUGUCCACUUUUAAAAUCUUGAAAAGAGUCCUCCAGAAUCUCGACACAAAUUGAGUUCCCCUAUCCGAUAUGAUAUCUUUAGGUAAUCCAUGAUAGCGAUAGAUAUUAUCAAUGAAAAGCUUAGCUGUUUCUUCACCUGUGAUAGAUUUUGUACAUGGCAUAAAAUGUGCCAUCUUGGUGAAACGAUCUACUAUCACAAAUAUAGAAUCAUAAGAUCUUGAGUUUGGAAGAUCUGUGAUGAAAUCCAUAGAAACAGAAGACCAUGGUUGUUCUGGUAUAGGUAAUGGCUGAAGAAGUCCGUAAGGUCGAUGUCGAGGAAUUUUUGAUCUUGAACAAAUAUCACAUGAUUGUACAAAGUCUUUGACUGACUUCCACAUUUGUGGCCACCAAAAAUCUCUUGAUAUGAGUUCCAGAGUCUUAUUAUAUCCAAAGUGCCCUGCUGCUGGAAAGUCAUGACGUGCUUGAAGAACACGCAAACGUGCUUUUCCUUCUAGAACAUAUAGGCGUCCUUCAAAAUAUAAUAGAUUAUUCUUGAACUCGAACUUAGAAGAAUCAUAAGACUUGGAAGAAUUAUUCUCGAUAUCAUGAACAAGAGGGUCUGAGGACAUACUGGACUGGAUUUCCUUGAGAAAAGUUGAAUCAACAGUCAAUGUUGAUUUCACUGCUCGGAGAUGAAAUUGCUCCGGUUUCAAGAGGACCGUUCUUUGUUGCUCAAAAGCUGCAUCUCCUUCUUUUGGUGCAAAAUAAGAACGUCUAGACAGGGCAUCGGACAAACCUUGUUGUUUUCCUGGCCGAUAAGUGAUAAUGAACUCGAAUCUUGACAAAGACAUACUCCAACGAGCUUGACGACGAUUCAACACGCGUGCUGACAUGAAAUACUCGAGGUUCUUGUGAUCUGUAUAUACAGUGACUGGACUAGAAGCACCUUCUAGAUAAUGAUGCCAUUCUUGAAAGGAAUCCACGAUUGCAAGAAGUUCUUUAUCGUGGAUCUCAUAAUUGAUCUCGGCUGCUGAGAAUUUUCUUGAAUGAAAAGCUAUCGGAUGAAGUUUGUCAUCUGUUCCCAUUUGUGAUAAAACUACACCCAAGGCAAAAUCCAAUGCGUCUGUUUCCAUAAAAAAUACCUUGGAAAAGUCAACACGAUAUAAGACUGGUGCAGAGACAAACGAUGUCUUCAAGGCUUCAAAUGCUGCUUCUGCUUCUUGAUUCCAUUGGAAUUUAUCUUUACUAGUCAAGCGUGUAAGUGGAGCUGCAACUCGUGAGAAGUCUUUGAUGAAGAUCCGAUAGUAAUUGACAAAUCCCAAGAAACAUUGGACAUCUCUCACAGUCUUUGGAAUCUUCCAAUCCAUGAUUGUUUGGACUUUCUUAGAAUCCAUCAUAAGACCAUCAUUUGAAAUGAUGUAUCCUAAAAAGUCAACUUGAGUAGUGUGAAAUACACACUUUUCCAUCUUGGCGUACAAUCCUGCAUCUCUAAGUUUUUGUAAUACUUGACGAACAUGUAUUUCAUGUUCUUCAACAUUCUUAGAAUAAAUCAGGAUAUCGUCUAAGUAGCAGACGACAAAAUUGUCUAAGAAUUCACGAAAUACAUCAUUCAUGAGAUGUUGAAAAGCAGCUGGUGCAUUCGUGAGUCCAAAAGGCAUGACAUUAUAUUCAAAAUGCCCGUACCUGGUUCGAAACGCAGUCUUCCAUUCAUCUCCUUGUUUAAUCCGUACUAGAUUAUAUGCUCCUUUUAGAUCUAUUUUUGUAUAGAUCUUAGCUUGAUUUAACUGGUCAAGGAGUCCUGAUAUCAAAGGUAAUGGAUACCUGUUCUUGAUUGUGAUCUUGUUGAGUCCUCGAUAGUCAACACACAUUCGUAAAGAUCCAUCUUUUUUCUUUACGAAUAAAAUUGGAGCUCCUGCUGGAGAUUUUGAAUGGCGUAUGAAAUUCUUUGCUAAAUUCUCGUCAAUAUAUGUCUUGAGUUCAGCCAACUCAUCUUGCGAUAAACUGUAAAUUGGUCCAAAUGGUGGCUGAGUUCCUUCCUUGAGAUCGAUUGAACAAUCGUAUGGGCGAUGCUCAGGAAGAAUAUCUGCAUUCUUUUUCUCAAAAACGUCUUGAUAAUCCUGAUAUUGACUUGGAAUGCCACUUGAAGUCUUUACGCUUUCAGAAAUAGGUGCAGCAUAAAUAGCAAAAGUUGAUCCUUCUUUUGCUGCGUGUAUAAAUGCUUUUGCACCUAUAGGUGCGAGUUCUACUAUACUAGACUCAUGGUUUUUUACUUCGUUAAUAGAACUGUUAGUAAUGCUCUGAGGAAAAUCAAGUUUACGAGAAAUCCAAUCUAUUGGAGGAUUAUACUUUUCUAACCAUGAUAAGCCUAAAAUUACUGGAUUAGAGGGAGAUCUAAUUAUAUUAAAAAUUAUGCAACUACUAUGACCAUUUAUUACUACAUCUACAGGAAGUGUUUCGUGAGUUACAUCUCCAGAAGGCAACGGACGACCAUCUAUGACUUCUACGUGUACAGGUUUAGUUUUUUGUAUUAAUGAUAUUCUAUGACAUCUAGCAAAUUCUUCAUCUAAAAAACAAGCUAAGGCUCUUGAAUCUAUCAAGGCAGAGGCUUUGUAAUUAUUAGGUCCUAAACGCACAUCUAUUAUAAAACAAGGAGAUGGUUCUGAGGAGAUGAUAGGACCUUUAUUAGAAGUUGUACAAGAUUCCAGCCGCACGGUCCCUAUUGUAGCUGGACGUACUCGUUUUCCGACAUACUGUCUUCUUUGACAGCCGUACUCCUCAUUUUGUAGUUACGUCGCUUCUUUGGACAAUGUUGAGCAGUGUGCUUAGGUUCUCCACAAUAUAAGCACAAUCCUUCUUGUCGACGACGAGACUUUUCUUGCUCAGUAAGAGGUUUGAAACGUACCGCAUCAAUUUGCAUAUCCUCUACUUCCGAAGGUAUGUGUUGAGGAGACGUCGGUGUUGCCAUUGAAUUGUAGUAACGUUGAGGCCCACUUGUGCGACUCUCGGAUCGAAAUUCAAAAAGUCGAUUGUCGCACUUCACAGCAAAGUCAAUUGCUUGACUCAAUGUUUGAAGAUCAGGUAAAUUAAGCAUCAAUUUCUUUACCUCAUAUUGUAAUCCGUAGAGAAAUUGACUCACAAGUGCGGCAUCAUCCCACUUGAUAUCAGUUGCAAGUUAUCGAAAUUGCGAAGCAUAUAAUGUUACUGAUCGAUUGCCUUGUCGCAAAAUACGGAUCUUGUUGGUUGCAACACGAAUUGCAUCAUGUUCUCCAAACAUGGAUCGAAACUCCGCCAAAAAAGCCUCCAGAUUAUCCAAUAUUGGAUCUCGUCGUUCAAGAAAAGAUGAAAACCAUGACAAUGCUGAACCUGAAAGAAGUGUACCAAUGAAUCUUACUUGUGACCCUGGAGUUGGAUAGCUCUGGGGUUGAAGUUCAAUCACUAGUUGGACCUGAUUGAUGAAUCCUCGAAACUUGGAUCUGGUACCAUCAAACUUCUCGGGCAAGGCAACUCUCGGUUCUCUAACACUCGAAGGGUGUUCCAUUCUGGGAGAAGGGACAUGGUUUGGUGCAGAUGUUGAAGCAGCCCCAAUCAUCUCUAUAUCUUCACUUCCUACCAUUCUUGUUGCUCCUUGUGGUGGUAAAUUGAGUUGAUGCAUCGCAAGCAUUAACUCCCUCAAUUGUUCUUGCAUCUGUGCCAUUGCACUCUUCAUUUCAACAAGCUCUGCCAUAGUAGCACUUAGAAAAGAGAAGAUGUCUAACAACGCUCAAAACAAAUAGAAGAGAGGAAUUGAUAACAAAGAAAAUACUAAGAACAAUAUCAGUUUAAAAGAGGGUAAUCCGCAACUUCUAAUGCGCUUAUGUCUUAUCAAGAAAAAGGGGUAAUCCACUCUUAAUCAAGAAAAGACAAAGCUCUGAUAUUGUAAGUGUACUCUUGUCAAUCUGUCAAGGACAAGAACUCGAUGAAAGCUAAAGAGUAAGUGAGACUUUUCUCAAAAAGAAAUAGGACAAAAUAGGAAUAUGUAUAUUAAGAAAGAAACUGGAAUGGCUAUUGCCAAAAUACAAGAAAACUAGAGACCCUUGAAACUAGACUAGAAGCAAGAAAGGAGUUGACAAGAGUGAAGAGGGCUUCACUCUUGCCUCUAUAUAUACUAUCUAACUAGAAGCCACGUGGCGAUGUUCUAUAAGACCUCCAAUAUAUGUUGACUUUCUAGGCCACAUGCCUUUGCUUGCAAGGCAAGUUUUCUAUGGAUGGACCACGUAGUUAGCUUGUUCUUUAAGCUUCCAACAUGCGUGGCACAUGGCUAACUUGUUGACGAAGUUUCUAACCUAAAAGUCAACUAUAGACUCCUAUAAAGUCAAAGCAGCGUCUAUGAAGCUUCUAAGAAGCUUCUCUAGAAGAUAUUACACAAUUAACCUACUUUUACAUACUUUUAUCUAUUCAUAUAGGUAAUUAUAU
This 10317-nucleotide long non-coding RNA is filed under the name Physcomitrium patens. RNAcentral describes it as "long non-coding RNA (PPAT_LNC012295)". The record is from RNAcentral. Lineage: Eukaryota; Viridiplantae; Streptophyta; Bryopsida; Funariales; Funariaceae.